UGUGGCAUGAUAACGGCCACCAGGCAAUCAAUUAGCUUAGUCCAAAAUAAAAACAGAAAAAACAGCAAUGACAACAAAAACAAACUCUUUAUGGCAGCAGAAGCUAUGAUGAUGCCACAUAUUAACAAUAAAGAUAAAAUCAAUUGGCACAGAAAUGAACAUACAAUUUUAGUUCCAAUAUCUCCAGAUAAGCAAUUAAUCGAAAAUAUAAUAGAUACUCUUACAUAAGGAAGAGAGCAAAAAUAGAAAGCUUGAGUCUAAAAACAAUCCCACAUUCCCUGGUCAUAUUAUCCACACUUGAACCCUAAGCCCCAAAACAAUCCCAUGUUUUGCUGCUCCUGUAGGCAUCUCUCAUCCCUGUCUCUGUUUCUCUCUCUCUCUCUCUCUCUCACACACACACACACACACACACACACACACACAUACAUUUCAACAUUCCUAGCAUAGCCUAUACAUACACAUUUCCAGUUCAUGAGUGUGCUGCCCUGUGUCCAAAUAUGUGCUCCUAACAUAUUCCUUAUUCAACAAGGAAACAUAUUUUCAUAAGGAAAAAUUAGAUAAGAAUUCUUCUUUACAAUAUUCUCAAACAAAAGGAAGAACUUUAGGAAAUUGUGACACUUUCCAACCACUCCUGUGACUGCAAAAGCAUUUAUUUAGUAUAUCUUCAUGAAACAGCUUUAGGUUUAGUGCAUGAUAUGAGAUUCUGUAAUUAUGUCCAUUUGAGUGUAAGAAAAAC
RNAcentral lists this long non-coding RNA (736 nucleotides) under Vitis vinifera (wine grape). RNAcentral describes it as "long non-coding RNA (VVIN_LNC002175)". Lineage: Eukaryota; Viridiplantae; Streptophyta; Magnoliopsida; Vitales; Vitaceae. The record is from RNAcentral.